Long non-coding RNA from Dreissena polymorpha, 297 nucleotides. RefSeq lists it as uncharacterized. The record is from RefSeq and is a predicted model, not a curated record. Lineage: Eukaryota; Metazoa; Mollusca; Bivalvia; Myida; Dreissenidae. The transcript has 3 exons.
UGGAAAAAGUGGUUUUGGACAAACAGUAAAUAGCUUGAUUCUCCCUGAAAUCCUCUUGAAAUCACAAUGCUCCGCAGCUCAUGCUCUUGCACAAACGUACACGUCCUUAGCUGACUUCCCAGAACUCUCACGAGAAGUUAAUAUGGCUGCACAAGAAAUGAAGGCUGCACAUAUUUUAUCUCGUGGUCUAAUGACAACGUUUGGAGGUACUUUUCAUCAUCUAGUUGAUUCAACCAUUCCAAUGGUAUUGGAAGCAAUAAAUGUAAAGGAUGUUGAGCUACUUGGACAGGCUUUUGA